GGUUGAUCCUGCCAGUAGUCAUAUGCUCAUUUCGAAGACUAAGCCAUGCAAAUCUAAGUAUAAGUUGUAUACAACGAAACUGCGAAUAGCUCAUUAAAACAAUUAUCGUUUAUGUGGGUAAUUUCUACACGGAUAACUGUGGUAAUUCUGGAGCUAAUACGUGACUCAACAUCCAUUAGGAUGUCACUUACUAGAUAAGAACCAAUUGUGCUUGCACAACUCUGGUGAUCCAUAAUAAGGUCGUGAAUCGUAUGGUGUAUGCCGACGAUAUUCCACCUAAGUUUUUGACUUAU
RNAcentral lists this ribosomal RNA (293 nucleotides) under uncultured eukaryote. Its description in RNAcentral is "partial 18S ribosomal RNA". It matches the Rfam family "Eukaryotic small subunit ribosomal RNA", at positions 6 to 315 of the family's 1831-position model. The record is from RNAcentral.